This 711-nucleotide long non-coding RNA is filed under the name Mytilus galloprovincialis (Mediterranean mussel). Lineage: Eukaryota; Metazoa; Mollusca; Bivalvia; Mytilida; Mytilidae. The record is from RNAcentral.
GUCAUUUUUAUAAAUUUUCUGUUUACAAAACUUUGAAUUUUUCGAAAAACUAAGGAUUUUCUUACCCCAGGAGUAGAAUACCUUAGCCGUAUUUGGCACAACUUUUUGGAAUUUUGGGUCCUCAAUGCUCUUCACAUUUGUAUUUGUUUGGCUUUUUAACUAUUUCGAUCUGAGCGUCACUGAUGAGUCUUAUGUAGACGAAACGCGCGUCUGGCGUAUAAAAUUAUAACCCUGGUACUUUUGAUAACUAUUUACACCACUGGGUCGAUGCCGUUGCUGGUGGACGUUUCGUCACCGAGGGUAUCACCAGCCCAGUAGUCAGCACUUCGGUGUUGACAUGAAUAUCAAUUAUAUGGUAAUUUUUAUAAAUUUUCUGUUUACAAAACUUUGAAUUUUUCGAAAAAACUAAGGAUUUUCUUACCCCAGGAGUAGAUUACCUUAGCCGUAUUUGGCACAACUUUUUGGAAUUUUGGGUCCUCAAUGCUCUUCAACUUUGUAUUUGUUUGGCUUUUUAACUAUUUUGAUCUGAGCGUCACUGAUGAGUCUUAUGUAGACGAAACGCGCGUCUGGCGUAUAAAAUUAUAAUCCUGGUACUUUUGAUAACUAUUUACACCACUGGGUCGAUGCCACUACUGGUGGACGUUUCGUCCCCGAGGGUAUCACCAGCCCAGUAGUCAGCACUUCGGUGUUGACAUGAAUAUCAAUUAUAUG